This is a non-coding RNA of Streptomyces sp. NRRL F-4428, 75 nucleotides long. It matches the Rfam family "ASpks TB sRNA". The record is from Rfam. NCBI's taxonomy places the organism in Bacteria, Bacillati, Actinomycetota, Actinomycetes, Kitasatosporales, Streptomycetaceae.
CUUGAGGGAGCCCAGCCACAGCGGGGAGUCGCCCGGCCGGUCCCGGCCGUAGGUGGCCAGCAGCGCCGCGGCCUC